AGUGAAAUUGCUGGAGCAAAUGGUAACUAAGUUUCUGAGAGACUGUUGUACUAUUUUCCAUGGGUACUGUACCAUUUUACAUUUCCACCAGCAUU
RNAcentral lists this microRNA precursor (95 nucleotides) under Marmota monax (woodchuck). Lineage: Eukaryota; Metazoa; Chordata; Mammalia; Rodentia; Sciuridae. The record is from RNAcentral.